Molecule: non-coding RNA, 1710 nt
Organism: Manis javanica (Malayan pangolin)
Lineage: Eukaryota; Metazoa; Chordata; Mammalia; Pholidota; Manidae
Source: RefSeq, a predicted model, not a curated record
GAGAGGGUGGGAGCGCCGGGCCUGGAGGGAGCAGCCCGGGGGUGGGAGCCGGCCCGUGUCCCGACUUCGUGGCCGCCGAGGAUCGCUCGGGGAUGCGUGAGCCCGCGGCUCGCGGCCCCGCAGCUCCGAGCGGCGUUGGCCAUCCCGGCCUCUAAGGGCCGCCACAUCCCGGCGGCGUGCGCCGGCCGAGGGCUGCUGGCUGCCGGGCGAGGGGGGAGCGGCCGGGGAGGGGCCGGGCGUGCCGGCAGGGGCCGCCCAGGCCGCGCGCCUUCCCCAUCACCGCGGCCGGCGCCGGGCCAGGAUGCGCGGCGACACACUCUGAAGCAUGGAGGGGGUUCUGUACAAGUGGACCAACUAUCUCACAGGUUGGCAGCCUCGCUGGUUUGUUUUGGAUAAUGGAAUCUUGUCCUACUAUGAUUCACAAGAUGAUGUUUGCAAAGGGAGCAAAGGAAGUAUAAAGAUGGCAGUUUGUGAAAUUAAAGGUAGGGGUCAAGAUUAAUUGUUUUCCCCGUAUGGGUAGCCAGUUGACCGAGCACCAUUUAUUGAAAAGAGCAACCUUUUGCCCACUGCACUGAAGGGACAUCUUUGUCACAGAGUGAGUGACCAGGUAUGUUUGGGUCUUUUUCUGGACUCUCGUGUUCCAUGGGUCUGUUUUUCUAUUCUUGUUUAUCUAGUAUCACACUAUUUAAAUUUCUUUAGCUUUAUGCUUCUUCUUAAUAUUUGAUAGUUUAAGUCUUCUAACUUUGUUCUUUUUCAGUAUUGUUGUGGCUGUUAUUGGCCCUUUGCAUUUCCUUGCACGUUUUAGAAUCUGUAAAUUUUCACAAAUCUCUGUUGGAAUUUUGACUGAAAUUACACUGAAUAUAUGUCAAUUUGGGUAGAACUGUAUUCUAUACAAUAUUGAGUCUUUUGAGUUAUUAACAUGGUAUAUUCUUACAAUACAAUCUUUAAUUUCUCUCAGUAAUGUUUUGCAGUUUUAUGUGUAGGCAUUCUGUUCUAUUUUCCCUAGGAACUUGAUACUGUGGGAGCAUUGCUCCUAAGUUUGUUGCCUCCUCAGGUGACUGCUGUGGCCGGGAUAACCCUUGACUGAUACAUCAGUGCUGGUAUAUUUAAAAAUGUGUCCUCUUAUUUUAGUUUCAUAUUAUAGCAACAUUAGAAAUUAGAGGAUUUUUUUUUUAGGGUGGCUAUCAGUGCUUUCAGUAGUAUUAACAAAUAGCAAAAAAAGAGUUGACUCUUGGAGCCUUGGGAUUUCAGCAGUUUUAUCCUAGCCUACAGAUCUUCGGCACCCAUCAUUGAUUGUGGGAUGAUUGUAUAUUGCACUAUCUACAUCCAAGAAUGGCCUGCAUAAGUAGAGUAAGAUAGUAAAACUUUUGUGCCGCUGCCUCUUUGCCACAGUACAAGGAGCAUCUGGUCAGUAGUUCACUAAUCAAGCAUCUAAAUUAGAACUUCUGCCAGAUUUUGUGGGCCUCUCAUAAUUUGGCUCCACUCAGCCUGUCCAUUCAUGAAUAACAUUACUUUGUAAUACAACACAAGGUUCUGUUUAGGCGUGUCUCCUGAUAUCCUCUGUACCUAUUAUGUUUAUUUCCUCAUCAGGCCUUUUCUUGUGCAUUUUUCUCUUAACUAAGUCCUACUGUUGUCAAAUUCUUCCUGCAGCCUUUUUGUUUCCUGCUGCAUCUUACCUUUCUCUAAUUAUAAUUACACACAACGUCUCUG